UUCUAGCCCCGAUGGGAACGACAUCCUUUUUUGUUUUUGGUGAGGGAAUCUGAUUCGGGGAAAACAAAAAAGAUAUAGUGGACAACGGGAAAUAGC
This 96-nucleotide small RNA is filed under the name Chryseobacterium sp. 8AT. RNAcentral describes it as "Flavo-1". It matches the Rfam family "Flavo-1 RNA". Lineage: Bacteria; Pseudomonadati; Bacteroidota; Flavobacteriia; Flavobacteriales; Weeksellaceae. The record is from RNAcentral.